RNAcentral lists this ribosomal RNA (490 nucleotides) under uncultured bacterium. RNAcentral's name for it is "partial 16S ribosomal RNA". It matches the Rfam family "Bacterial small subunit ribosomal RNA", at positions 30 to 507 of the family's 1533-position model. The record is from RNAcentral.
AUUGAACGCUGGCGGCAGGCCUAACACAUGCAAGUCGAACGGUAACAGGAAGCAGCUUGCUGCUUUGCUGACGAGUGGCGGACGGGUGAGUAAUGUCUGGGAAACUGCCUGAUGGAGGGGGAUAACUACUGGAAACGGUAGCUAAUACCGCAUAACGUCGCAAGACCAAAGAGGGGGACCUUAGGGCCUCUUGCCAUCGGAUGUGCCCAGAUGGGAUUAGCUAGUAGGUGGGGUAACGGCUCACCUAGGCGACGAUCCCUAGCUGGUCUGAGAGGACGACCAGCCACACUGGAACUGAGACACGGUCCAGACUCCUACGGGAGGCAGCAGUGGGGAAUAUUGCACAAUGGGCGCAAGCCUGAUGCAGCCAUGCCGCGUGUAUGAAGAAGGCCUUCGGGUUGUAAAGUACUUUCAGCGGGGAGGAAGGGAGUAAAGUUAAUACCUUUGCUCAUUGACGUUACCCGCAGAAGAAGCACCGGCUAACUCCGUG